This 1550-nucleotide ribosomal RNA is filed under the name Klebsiella pneumoniae. RNAcentral describes it as "bacterial SSU rRNA". It matches the Rfam family "Bacterial small subunit ribosomal RNA". Lineage: Bacteria; Pseudomonadati; Pseudomonadota; Gammaproteobacteria; Enterobacterales; Enterobacteriaceae. The record is from RNAcentral.
AAAUUGAAGAGUUUGAUCAUGGCUCAGAUUGAACGCUGGCGGCAGGCCUAACACAUGCAAGUCGAGCGGUAGCACAGAGAGCUUGCUCUCGGGUGACGAGCGGCGGACGGGUGAGUAAUGUCUGGGAAACUGCCUGAUGGAGGGGGAUAACUACUGGAAACGGUAGCUAAUACCGCAUAAUGUCGCAAGACCAAAGUGGGGGACCUUCGGGCCUCAUGCCAUCAGAUGUGCCCAGAUGGGAUUAGCUAGUAGGUGGGGUAAUGGCUCACCUAGGCGACGAUCCCUAGCUGGUCUGAGAGGAUGACCAGCCACACUGGAACUGAGACACGGUCCAGACUCCUACGGGAGGCAGCAGUGGGGAAUAUUGCACAAUGGGCGCAAGCCUGAUGCAGCCAUGCCGCGUGUGUGAAGAAGGCCUUCGGGUUGUAAAGCACUUUCAGCGGGGAGGAAGGCGAUAAGGUUAAUAACCUUGGCGAUUGACGUUACCCGCAGAAGAAGCACCGGCUAACUCCGUGCCAGCAGCCGCGGUAAUACGGAGGGUGCAAGCGUUAAUCGGAAUUACUGGGCGUAAAGCGCACGCAGGCGGUCUGUCAAGUCGGAUGUGAAAUCCCCGGGCUCAACCUGGGAACUGCAUUCGAAACUGGCAGGCUAGAGUCUUGUAGAGGGGGGUAGAAUUCCAGGUGUAGCGGUGAAAUGCGUAGAGAUCUGGAGGAAUACCGGUGGCGAAGGCGGCCCCCUGGACAAAGACUGACGCUCAGGUGCGAAAGCGUGGGGAGCAAACAGGAUUAGAUACCCUGGUAGUCCACGCCGUAAACGAUGUCGAUUUGGAGGUUGUGCCCUUGAGGCGUGGCUUCCGGAGCUAACGCGUUAAAUCGACCGCCUGGGGAGUACGGCCGCAAGGUUAAAACUCAAAUGAAUUGACGGGGGCCCGCACAAGCGGUGGAGCAUGUGGUUUAAUUCGAUGCAACGCGAAGAACCUUACCUGGUCUUGACAUCCACAGAACUUAGCAGAGAUGCUUUGGUGCCUUCGGGAACUGUGAGACAGGUGCUGCAUGGCUGUCGUCAGCUCGUGUUGUGAAAUGUUGGGUUAAGUCCCGCAACGAGCGCAACCCUUAUCCUUUGUUGCCAGCGGUUAGGCCGGGAACUCAAAGGAGACUGCCAGUGAUAAACUGGAGGAAGGUGGGGAUGACGUCAAGUCAUCAUGGCCCUUACGACCAGGGCUACACACGUGCUACAAUGGCAUAUACAAAGAGAAGCGACCUCGCGAGAGCAAGCGGACCUCAUAAAGUAUGUCGUAGUCCGGAUUGGAGUCUGCAACUCGACUCCAUGAAGUCGGAAUCGCUAGUAAUCGUAGAUCAGAAUGCUACGGUGAAUACGUUCCCGGGCCUUGUACACACCGCCCGUCACACCAUGGGAGUGGGUUGCAAAAGAAGUAGGUAGCUUAACCUUCGGGAGGGCGCUUACCACUUUGUGAUUCAUGACUGGGGUGAAGUCGUAACAAGGUAACCGUAGGGGAACCUGCGGUUGGAUCACCUCCUUACCUUAAAGAA